RNAcentral lists this transfer RNA (72 nucleotides) under Anaerostipes sp. 494a. It matches the Rfam family "tRNA". From Rfam's summary of the family: Transfer RNA (tRNA) molecules are approximately 80 nucleotides in length. The record is from Rfam by way of RNAcentral. RNAcentral also lists the same sequence under 4 other names. Lineage: Bacteria; Bacillati; Bacillota; Clostridia; Lachnospirales; Lachnospiraceae.
GGCUCCAUGGUCAAGAGGUUAAGACGUGACCCUCUCAAGGUCGAGUCACGGGUUCGAUUCCCGUUGGAGUCA